UCUUUUUUGAUGGAAAAUGGAAGUCAUUUGGGACUACCACCAGCCUUUGUUUCGACUAGCACACAGUAUAAAAUGAUUACACUUGACAUCGUAGCCAUUUUAUAAAGGGUCGUUGCAUGAAAACCAAUGGAAACCAGAUUCCCUUUUGUGAAUCUAUUACAAUUUGAUUGCAUCAUGCGAUAUGUGGGUGUCUUAUACUUUGCUUUGAGUAAUAAAAAUAGCAUUAUCAAAUGGGCAGUUAACAUUAUCAAAAGCAAUAAUGGAUUAAAAAAAAUCAAGAAAGUAUAUUCGUCUUCAUCCCCUUAUGUGAAAUCUUUAUAUGAAAAUAUUAGAUCUCCGAAGCUCCAGACGAAUCCAAUAUAAGGCUAACAUGGACAAUUACCAAUUUAACAUGAGGCGUGGGAGUGGUGCACUGUAGCAGUGCACUCCGCUAAUCACAGCCCAUCUCGAAUCUAUAAACGACCAGCUGUGAUUGACAGUAUGCACAGUCACAUCUCGUGGUGGUCCAUGGUAUUAGACAAGAAACUCAUAAGAUGACCUAAUAUGCCCCUUAGGACUCGUUUGAUUGACGAGAAGUGGAGGGGAGAAAAGGCAGUUCCUAAGAAGUGGGGAGGGGGUCUCUUGUUUGGUUAAAAUUUUAAGAGGAGAGAGUGAAAAAAGCUCUUCUCAUAGGAAGUCACUUUUCAUAUUUCAUGAAAAUUGAAAACCUAUGGGAGAAAUGGAUUUUCGCACUUCCUAUGGUAUGAAAAGUGAUGGUGCUUUUUUCUUUUCCAAAAUAUCCUUUUAAAAUCUAUGGCUAAGAUUUUAUAAAAU
RNAcentral lists this long non-coding RNA (813 nucleotides) under Elaeis guineensis (African oil palm). RNAcentral's name for it is "long non-coding RNA (EGUI_LNC001399)". The record is from RNAcentral. Lineage: Eukaryota; Viridiplantae; Streptophyta; Magnoliopsida; Arecales; Arecaceae.